This 753-nucleotide long non-coding RNA is filed under the name Ursus americanus (American black bear). RNAcentral's name for it is "lncRNA (ENSUAMG00000025803.1)". Lineage: Eukaryota; Metazoa; Chordata; Mammalia; Carnivora; Ursidae. The record is from RNAcentral.
CUGUGGGCCUUCAGGCCACCUUGAGCCACUCAGUUCUGGUCUCUGGAGGGGAGGCUCUAAGUUCCUUGCAGCUCGCUGCUGCCCAGCUGGCUCUGCCGGGAGAUGACUGCUCCAGAGGCCGAGGCACUCAGGGAUCGCUGUCUGCGAAGUUUACUGGGGCUCCUGAGACCAACACACAGGAAUCACUGGCAUUCCCGACUGAUGGUGUGACUCAUUCCUCAAGCAUUGCCCGUGGGGGCCAGGCAGCUGGCUGAAUCCGGAUCUGGAGAGCUCUGGAGCCUAUGUCAGAGGAUGGGUGUAGGGGUGAAGAAGGUAUGCUGUACGUUCAUGUAGUCCGGUGAUUGCGUUUUCUGCUCCACCAGCACCUUCUCUGUUUGUGCUAAGCUACGUGUCCUUUACUGUGCCUCCAUGCUCUUCAUUCCUCUGUGCCUUUGUUCAAGCCGACCCUUCGAACUGGAAUGUCUCCCUCCCUUUUCCUGUCCUAUAGUCUGGUAGGGCCAUCUCCUCCUGAAAGUCCUCCAUAACCCUUCUCUCCGGUCCCAUAGCAAUCCCUGCCUUCCUUUAUCAAACACUAGGCUCUGCGCACAGUUGUAUCCCUCCCCUGCGGUCCCCAUCUCCCCUGUAGCAAAAGGAGACCGCAGCUCCUUACACGUGGGGAUCCCUGCUUCCUCAGCUGUUUCUGUCGCAGCAUCCAGUGUGAGCUUGCCAUGUAAUAGGCAACUGGCAAAUAAAUAGCUACUUUGCUUUUCUUCA